GCGAGCGUCUGCGCCGCGGCCUCCCUCGCCGGCCCUGCGCCUCUCCUUCCCGGGGCCCGGGGCCGCCCCUGCCUCACCCGGAGUAUCGGGCGGAGGCGCGGCCUGGGCAGCCCGGGGCCGGGCCCGGGGCGCGACGGCGAGGUCGGUGCGGGGCCUGGGCGUCCGGCCGCGCCUCGUGGCCGCUCCGCGCGCCCUCCCGCCCGGCCUGGCGGCUGGCGGCGCAGCGCCUCCUCCCAGGAAGCCAGCACCCCGGGGAGGAAGGAACCGGGGCUGACGCUGGGAAAAGCCCGCCGCGCGCCUGGCCGAAGGAGAAGAAAACAAGACCCAAACCUGGUGACUUGCCCUCAGUUCCUUGGCGAUGACAACUUAAAGUCCUUCACAGAGAAGAACUGGUGGCUCGGGAUAAGACUAACAGCUGAACUGCUAGCAAAAAGCCAUAAGAACUUGAGCAGAGACUCAAAUCCACAGUUCUCUGCAUGGAGGAGUCUGACACCAGUGAGAUCUCCACCACAUAGGCGCUUGGCUGCUCCAGGCCACACUAGAAAGACAUUGUCAAGAAGCAGACAACUUCAGCUUAGUUUGCAGACUUUUGAGAUUUUUUAAAAUAGUUGUGUUCAAUGGGGAAGUGAAAAAAUUAUCUUCCUAGCCUUUCCUCCACCCCAUUGUUUCCUGCUGCAAUGGCUUGCUCCUUGUGCUCCCUGAGUGUGUGCCUGUGCUAUUAGAGGCCGCGUGGUGG
Molecule: long non-coding RNA, 736 nt
Filed under: Equus caballus (horse)
Lineage: Eukaryota; Metazoa; Chordata; Mammalia; Perissodactyla; Equidae
Description: lncRNA (ENSECAG00000046583.1)
Source: RNAcentral